AACGAAUUUCAGAAAGUGCUUAGAAUAUAAUGAAGUUGAUUCAAGAUUAUAAACAACAGAAAAGUAAUUAAUACAUGAAGAAUUCUCAAAUGCAAUUGUGCAUAUAAAAAGAUCAAUUUUAUGAGAUCAUUGAAUGCGAUAAUGAAGCAGACGGAUGAAUUUUAAACGGUGGUUUACAAAAUGAGAACUAUGAACUAAUAUUUGAGAUAGCAGAAGUUUCUCUGUUGGGAUUUAUGGAGCUGUUGACCACUAAUUAGUUUCUUGAUGCACGGUUCCAAGCUUUAAUUUCCCACUCGCAGAUGCUGCUGAACAUGCUGCAAUGACUUGUCUUCAACGACCUCGUAAAUAGAGCAUCCAAAUCUUACCAAAUUAUAACUUGUUUCCUUCCUUUUAAAAAGGAUUAGAACAAUUACAAUUAUCUAUUUUGAAAGUAUGAUUUUAUAAAUAUAUAUAUAUAUAUAUAUAUUA
Centruroides sculpturatus (bark scorpion) is the source of this 468-nucleotide long non-coding RNA. RefSeq lists it as uncharacterized. The record is from RefSeq and is a predicted model, not a curated record. Lineage: Eukaryota; Metazoa; Arthropoda; Arachnida; Scorpiones; Buthidae. The transcript is spliced from 3 exons.